AUUGAACGCUGGCGGCAUGCCUAACACAUGCAAGUCGAACGGGGCGCUUCGGCGCCUAGUGGCGGACGGGUGAGUAAAGCGUAGGAAUCUGCCUUGUAGUGGGGGACAACCUGGGGAAACUCAGGCUAAUACCGCAUACGCUCGCGAGAGGAAAGCGGGGGAUCUUCGGACCUCGCGCCGCAAGAAGAGCCUACGUCCGAUUAGCUAGUUGGUAGGGUAAAAGCCUACCAAGGCGACGAUCGGUAGCUGGUCUGAGAGGAUGAUCAGCCACACUGGGACUGAGACACGGCCCAGACUCCUACGGGAGGCAGCAGUGGGGAAUAUUGGACAAUGGGCGCAAGCCUGAUCCAGCAAUGCCGCGUGGGUGAAGAAGGCCUGCGGGUUGUAAAGCCCUUUAAGUGGGGAGGAACGGCGGGAUGCGAACAGUGUUCUGCUCUGACGUUACCCACAGAAUAAGCACCGGCUAACUCCGUGCCAGCAGCCGCGG
Molecule: ribosomal RNA, 487 nt
Filed under: uncultured bacterium
Lineage: Bacteria
Description: bacterial SSU rRNA
Rfam family: Bacterial small subunit ribosomal RNA
Source: RNAcentral